This 1554-nucleotide ribosomal RNA is filed under the name Staphylococcus aureus. RNAcentral describes it as "16S ribosomal RNA". It matches the Rfam family "Bacterial small subunit ribosomal RNA". Lineage: Bacteria; Bacillati; Bacillota; Bacilli; Caryophanales; Staphylococcaceae. The record is from RNAcentral.
UUUAUGGAGAGUUUGAUCCUGGCUCAGGAUGAACGCUGGCGGCGUGCCUAAUACAUGCAAGUCGAGCGAACGGACGAGAAGCUUGCUUCUCUGAUGUUAGCGGCGGACGGGUGAGUAACACGUGGAUAACCUACCUAUAAGACUGGGAUAACUUCGGGAAACCGGAGCUAAUACCGGAUGAUAUUUUGAACCGCAUGGUUCAAAAGUGAAAGACGGUCUUGCUGUCACUUAUAGAUGGAUCCGCGCUGCAUUAGCUAGUUGGUAAGGUAACGGCUUACCAAGGCAACGAUGCAUAGCCGACCUGAGAGGGUGAUCGGCCACACUGGAACUGAGACACGGUCCAGACUCCUACGGGAGGCAGCAGUAGGGAAUCUUCCGCAAUGGGCGAAAGCCUGACGGAGCAACGCCGCGUGAGUGAUGAAGGUCUUCGGAUCGUAAAACUCUGUUAUUAGGGAAGAACAUAUGUGUAAGUAACUGUGCACAUCUUGACGGUACCUAAUCAGAAAGCCACGGCUAACUACGUGCCAGCAGCCGCGGUAAUACGUAGGUGGCAAACGUUAUCCGGAAUUAUUGGGCGUAAAGCGCGCGUAGGCGGUUUUUUAAGUCUGAUGUGAAAGCCCACGGCUCAACCGUGGAGGGUCAUUGGAAACUGGAAAACUUGAGUGCAGAAGAGGAAAGUGGAAUUCCAUGUGUAGCGGUGAAAUGCGCAGAGAUAUGGAGGAACACCAGUGGCGAAGGCGACUUUCUGGUCUGUAACUGACGCUGAUGUGCGAAAGCGUGGGGAUCAAACAGGAUUAGAUACCCUGGUAGUCCACGCCGUAAACGAUGAGUGCUAAGUGUUAGGGGGUUUCCGCCCCUUAGUGCUGCAGCUAACGCAUUAAGCACUCCGCCUGGGGAGUACGACCGCAAGGUUGAAACUCAAAGGAAUUGACGGGGACCCGCACAAGCGGUGGAGCAUGUGGUUUAAUUCGAAGCAACGCGAAGAACCUUACCAAAUCUUGACAUCCUUUGACAACUCUAGAGAUAGAGCCUUCCCCUUCGGGGGACAAAGUGACAGGUGGUGCAUGGUUGUCGUCAGCUCGUGUCGUGAGAUGUUGGGUUAAGUCCCGCAACGAGCGCAACCCUUAAGCUUAGUUGCCAUCAUUAAGUUGGGCACUCUAAGUUGACUGCCGGUGACAAACCGGAGGAAGGUGGGGAUGACGUCAAAUCAUCAUGCCCCUUAUGAUUUGGGCUACACACGUGCUACAAUGGACAAUACAAAGGGCAGCGAAACCGCGAGGUCAAGCAAAUCCCAUAAAGUUGUUCUCAGUUCGGAUUGUAGUCUGCAACUCGACUACAUGAAGCUGGAAUCGCUAGUAAUCGUAGAUCAGCAUGCUACGGUGAAUACGUUCCCGGGUCUUGUACACACCGCCCGUCACACCACGAGAGUUUGUAACACCCGAAGCCGGUGGAGUAACCUUUUAGGAGCUAGCCGUCGAAGGUGGGACAAAUGAUUGGGGUGAAGUCGUAACAAGGUAGCCGUAUCGGAAGGUGCGGCUGGAUCACCUCCUUUCU